ACACAUGCAAGUCGAACGAAGUCUUCGGACUUAGUGGCGGACGGGUGAGUAACGCGUGAGAAUCUGCCUUCAGGAUGGGGACAACAGUUGGAAACGACUGCUAAUACCCAAUAUGCAGCAAUGUGAAAUAUUUUUUGCCUGAAGAGGAGCUCGCGUCCGAUUAGUUAGUUGGUGAGGUAAGAGCUUACCAAGGCGGCGAUCGGUAGCUGGUCUGAGAGGAUGAGCAGCCACACUGGGACUGAGACACGGCCCAGACUCCUACGGGAGGCAGCAGUGGGGAAUUUUCCGCAAUGGGCGAAAGCCUGACGGAGCAAUACCGCGUGAGGGAGGAAGGCUUUUGGGUUGUAAACCUCUUUUUUUAAGGAAGAAGAAAGUGACGGUACUUAAAGAAUCAGCAUCGGCUAACUCCGUGCCAGCAGCCGCGGUAAUACGGAGGAUGCAAGCGUUAUCCGGAAUCAUUGGGCGUAAAGCGUCCGCAGGUGGCGAUUCAAGUCUGCUGUUAAAGACAGAAGCUUAACUUCUGAAAAGCGGUGGAAACUGGAUAGCUAGAGUACGGUAGGGGUUGAGGGAAUUCCCAGUGUAGCGGUGAAAUGCGUAGAUAUUGGGAAGAACACCAGUGGCGAAGGCGCUCAACUGGGCCGUAACUGACACUCAGGGACGAAAGCUAGGGUAGCGAAAGGGAUUAGAUACCCCUGUAGUCUUAGCUGUAAACGAUGAACACUAGGCGUUGCUUGUAUCGACCCGAGCAGUGCCGUAGCCAACGCGUUAAGUGUUCCGCCUGGGGAGUACGCACGCAAGUGUGAAACUCAAAGGAAUUGACGGGGGCCCGCACAAGCGGUGGAGUAUGUGGUUUAAUUCGAUGCAACGCGAAGAACCUUACCAGGACUUGACAUCUCGAGAAUCUUGUAGAGAUACAAGAGUGCCUUAGGGAACUCGAAGACAGGUGGUGCAUGGCUGUCGUCAGCUCGUG
This 970-nucleotide ribosomal RNA is filed under the name Pleurocapsa sp. TIOX102. RNAcentral describes it as "bacterial SSU rRNA". It matches the Rfam family "Bacterial small subunit ribosomal RNA", at positions 51 to 1064 of the family's 1533-position model. The record is from RNAcentral. Lineage: Bacteria; Bacillati; Cyanobacteriota; Cyanophyceae; Pleurocapsales; Pleurocapsaceae.